GGGUCAAGUGUGGGAUGGCAAUUUUAAAUGGCAGGAAUGACUAUGGAGAAGGAGUGUCAGGUAGUACAAUUAGAGGGAAGAACACAGAUCAAGUCAUUAAGUUGAAGAUCACAGGAUUUGGAUUUAAACUAUAAGAACUUUAACCUCUGUUCCUUGCUUUAUAGCCUCCAUAAUUGGUAGUCCAGGAAAGCAGCCAUCUUUCUCCACUGCCAUGUUCUGACAUCUGGAGGUGCUGUUAAGGACAAAAAAGUGUGACCCAGAGUUACCUGCUUACAGAGAACAGAUAUGCUUGAACAUGGAAGAUGCACCCCACAACCCACCUCACAGAGGACCCCUGUCUACCAGGAGAAAAUGAAUACCGUUAUCCCCAAGGAGAUACCAUUUCUUCAGGUCUUCAUUUCCUUCUGAAGGGUCCCAUGUCAGGUAAAAUAUAUGUUAUACAAAUGCAUAUUCUUUUGUCCUGUUGAUCUGUGUUAUUCAGUUUAAUUUUCAGACCCAGACAGGGUCUCUAAGUGGGUCAAGGAAAACUUUUUACUCCCCUACAGUUUUUAUCUGUUGUAUCUCCAGAGCCUAGCCCACAGUCAAGAUAAGAAACUGACAUGGAUUAAUGAAUAAACCAAUGAAUGUCAGUGAAAAUUUUUAGCUUGCAAAUGGGACUUGUUGUAUUCAAAGUUCUUAUAGAUAUGUUCAAUGGGAAAAAAUUAGACUUGCUGUGUUUGAUGUUAGAGAUGUUAUCCCAGAACAAUGAGUAUAAUUUUAGGCAGGAGAGUACUGUUUCAAUUAAGGAAACAGGCUAUGUUAUCUUGGAUGAUUCUAUUUUAUCCCUUAGUAUAUUCUUGCUUCUCUGGGGUAGGAAUCACAUAUUCCUUGAUCACUGUUACGUUUCCCUUGCUAGCAAAGU
Molecule: long non-coding RNA, 901 nt
Organism: Manis pentadactyla (Chinese pangolin)
Lineage: Eukaryota; Metazoa; Chordata; Mammalia; Pholidota; Manidae
Exons: 3
Source: RefSeq, a predicted model, not a curated record